GAAUUCGCCCUUAGAGUUUGAUCCUGGCUCAGGACGAACGCUGGCGGCGUGCUUAACACAUGCAAGUCGAACGGGACCAUACAAGAUGAAGUUUUCGGAUGGAAUCGCGUAUAGUUUAGUGGCGAACGGGUGAGUAACGCGUGAGCAACCUGCCUUUCGGAGCGGGAUAACAGCUGGAAACGGCUGCUAAUACCGCAUAAUAUAACAUUAAGGCAUCUUUAUGUUAUCAAAGAUUUAUCGCCGGAAGAUGGGCUCGCGUCUGAUUAGCUGGUUGGUGAGGUAACGGCUCACCAAGGCGACGAUCAGUAGCCGGACUGAGAGGUUGAACGGCCACAUUGGGACUGAGAUACGGCCCAGACUCCUACGGGAGGCAGCAGUGGGGAAUAUUGCGCAAUGGGGGAAACCCUGACGCAGCAACGCCGCGUGAAGGAAGAAGGUUUUCGGAUUGUAAACUUCUUUUCUAAGGGACGAAGAUGACGGUACCUUAGGAAUAAGCCACGGCUAACUACGUGCCAGCAGCCGCGGUAAUACGUAGGUGGCAAGCGUUGUCCGGAUUUACUGGGUGUAAAGGGCGAGUAGGCGGGACUGUAAGUCAGGUGUGAAAUCUGGGGGCUUAACCCCCAAACUGCACUUGAAACUAUGGUUCUUGAGUGAUGGAGAGGCAGGCGGAAUUCCCGGUGUAGCGGUGGAAUGCGUAGAGAUCGGGAGGAACACCAGUGGCGAAGGCGGCCUGCUGGACAUUAACUGACGCUGAGGAGCGAAAGCGUGGGGAGCAAACAGGAAUAGAUACCCUGGUAGUCCACGCUGUAAACGAUGGAUA
RNAcentral lists this ribosomal RNA (820 nucleotides) under uncultured bacterium. RNAcentral's name for it is "bacterial SSU rRNA". It matches the Rfam family "Bacterial small subunit ribosomal RNA", at positions 1 to 815 of the family's 1533-position model. The record is from RNAcentral.